AGCAUUAUACAGCGAAACUGCGAAUGGCUCAUUAUAUAAGUUAUCGUUUAUUUGAUAGUACCUUACUACAUGGAUAACCGUGGUAAUUCUAGAGCUAAUACAUGCUAAAAAUCCCGACUUCGGAAGGGAUGUAUUUAUUAGAUUAAAAACCAAUGCCCUCUGGGCUCUUUGGUGAUUCAUGAUAACUUCUCGAAUCGCAUGGCCUUGCGCCGGCGAUGGUUCAUUCAAAUUUCUUCCCUAUCAACUUUCGAUGUUUGGGUAUUGGCCAAACAUGGUCGCAACGGGUAACGGAGGGUUAGGGCUCGACCCCGGAGAAGGAGCCUGAGAAACGGCUACUACAUCCAAGGAAGGCAGCAGGCGCGCAAAUUACCCAAUCCCGACACGGGGAGGUAGUGACAAUAAAUACUGAUACAGGGCUCUUUUGGGUCUUGUAAUUGGAAUGAGUACAAUUUAAAUCCCUUAACGAGGAACAAUUGGAGGGCAAGUCUGGUGCCAGCAGCCGCGGUAAUUCCAGCUCCAAUAGCGUAUAUUAAAGUUGUUGUGGUUAAAAAGCUCGUAGUUGAACCUUGGGCCUGGCUGGCCGGUCCGCCUCACCGCGUGUACUGGUCCGGCCGGGCCUUUCCCUCUGUGGAACCCCAUGCCCUUCACUGGGUGUGGCGGGGAAACAGGACUUUUACUUUGAAAAAAUUAGAGUGCUCCAGGCAGGCCUAUGCUCGAAUACAUUAGCAUGGAAUAAUGAAAUAGGACGUGUGGUUCUAUUUUGUUGGUUUCUAGGACCGCCGUAAUGAUUAAUAGGGACAGUCGGGGGCAUCAGUAUUCAAUUGUCAGAGGUGAAAUUCUUGGAUUUAUUGAAGACUAACUACUGCGAAAGCAUUUGCCAAGGAUGUUUUCAUUAAUCAGGAACGAAAGUUAGGGGAUCGAAGACGAUCAGAUACCGUCGUAGUCUUAACCAUAAACUAUGCCGACUAGGGAUCGGACGAUGUUAUUUUUUGACGCGUUCGGCACCUUACGAGAAAUCAAAGUGC
Molecule: ribosomal RNA, 1025 nt
Filed under: Gamszarea humicola
Lineage: Eukaryota; Fungi; Ascomycota; Sordariomycetes; Hypocreales; Cordycipitaceae
Description: SSU rRNA
Rfam family: Eukaryotic small subunit ribosomal RNA
Source: RNAcentral